GCGGAAGUAGCUCAGUGGUAGAGCCUCGCCUUGCCAAGGCGAGGGUCGCGAGUUCGAAUCUCGUUUUCCGCUCCA
RNAcentral lists this transfer RNA (75 nucleotides) under Veillonellaceae bacterium. RNAcentral's name for it is "tRNA-Gly". It matches the Rfam family "tRNA". Rfam says of the family: Transfer RNA (tRNA) molecules are approximately 80 nucleotides in length. Lineage: Bacteria; Bacillati; Bacillota; Negativicutes; Veillonellales; Veillonellaceae. The record is from RNAcentral.